GGUAGCUCGUUGGGCUCAUAACCCAAAGGUCGGAGGUUCAAAUCCUUCCCCCGCAA
This 56-nucleotide transfer RNA is filed under the name bacterium. RNAcentral's name for it is "tRNA-Leu". It matches the Rfam family "tRNA", at positions 17 to 71 of the family's 71-position model. Rfam says of the family: Transfer RNA (tRNA) molecules are approximately 80 nucleotides in length. Their secondary structure includes four short double-helical elements and three loops (D, anti-codon, and T loops). Further hydrogen bonds mediate the characteristic L-shaped molecular structure. tRNAs have two regions of fundamental functional importance: the anti-codon, which is responsible for specific mRNA codon recognition, and the 3' end, to which the tRNAs corresponding amino acid is attached (by aminoacyl-tRNA synthetases). tRNAs cope with the degeneracy of the genetic code in two manners: having more than one tRNA (with a specific anti-codon) for a particular amino acid; and 'wobble' base-pairing, i.e. permitting non-standard base-pairing at the 3rd anti-codon position. The record is from RNAcentral.